RNAcentral lists this transfer RNA (89 nucleotides) under Marasmius sp. AFHP31. Its description in RNAcentral is "tRNA-Phe". It matches the Rfam family "tRNA". Rfam says of the family: Transfer RNA (tRNA) molecules are approximately 80 nucleotides in length. Their secondary structure includes four short double-helical elements and three loops (D, anti-codon, and T loops). Further hydrogen bonds mediate the characteristic L-shaped molecular structure. tRNAs have two regions of fundamental functional importance: the anti-codon, which is responsible for specific mRNA codon recognition, and the 3' end, to which the tRNAs corresponding amino acid is attached (by aminoacyl-tRNA synthetases). tRNAs cope with the degeneracy of the genetic code in two manners: having more than one tRNA (with a specific anti-codon) for a particular amino acid; and 'wobble' base-pairing, i.e. permitting non-standard base-pairing at the 3rd anti-codon position. The record is from RNAcentral. Lineage: Eukaryota; Fungi; Basidiomycota; Agaricomycetes; Agaricales; Marasmiaceae.
GACCCGAUAGUCCAGUGGUUGGACCGCUUGAAUAAAUUCAUCCUAUCGAGUGUUCAAUGGGUGCUCGGGUUCGACUCCCGGUUGGGUCA